ACGGUGCUGAAGUGACAAAUGCCCUGCUUCCAGGAAAAGCCUCUAAGCAUCAGGUAACAUCAAAUCGUACCCCAAACCGACACAGGUGGUCAGGUAGAGAAUACCAAGGCGCUUGAGAGAACUCGGGUGAAGGAACUAGGCAAAAUGGUGCCGUAACUUCGGGAGAAGGCACGCUGACAUGUAGGUGAAGCCCCUGCGGGUGGAGCUGAAGUCAGUCGAAGAUACCAGCUGGCUGCAACUGUUUAUUAAAAACACAGCACUGUGCAAACACGAAAGUGGACGUAUACGGUGUGACGCCUGCCCGGUGCCGGAAGGUUAAUUGAUGGGGUUAUCGCAAGAGAAGCUCCUGAUCGAAGCCCCGGUAAACGGCGGCCGUAACUAUAACGGUCCUAAGGUAGCGAAAUUCCUUGUCGGGUAAGUUCCGACCUGCACGAAUGGCGUAAUGAUGGCCAGGCUGUCUCCACCCGAGACUCAGUGAAAUUGAACUCGCUGUGAAGAUGCAGUGUACCCGCGGCAAGACGGAAAGACCCCGUGAACCUUUACUACAGCUUGACACUGAACAUUGAGCCUUGAUGUGUAGGAUAGGUGGGAGGCUUUGAAGCGUGGACGCCAGUCUGCGUGGAGCCGACCUUGAAAUACCACCCUUUAAUGUUUGAUGUUCUAACCUGGCGCCGUGAUCCGGCGUGGGGACAGUGUCUGGUGGGUAGUUUGACUGGGGCGGUCUCCUCCCAAAGUGUAACGGAGGAGCACGAAGGUCAGCUAAUCCUGGUCGGACAUCAGGAGGUUAGUGCAAUGGCAUAAGCUGGCUUGACUGCGAGAGUGACGGCUCGAGCAGGUGCGAAAGCAGGUCAUAGUGAUCCGGUGGUUCUGUAUGGAAGGGCCAUCGCUCAACGGAUAAAAGGUACUCCGGGGAUAACAGGCUGAUACCGCCCAAGAGUUCAUAUCGACGGCGGUGUUUGGCACCUCGAUGUCGGCUCAUCACAUCCUGGGGCUGAAGUAGGUCCCAAGGGUAUGGCUGUUCGCCAUUUAAAGUGGUACGCGAGCUGGGUUUAGAACGUCGUGAGACAGUUCGGUCCCUAUCUGCCGUGGGCGCUGGAGAAUUGAGGGGGGCUGCUCCCAGUACGAGAGGACCGGAGUGGACGCAUCACUGGUGUUCGGGUUGUCAUGCCAAUGGCACUGCCCGGUAGCUAAAUGCGGAAGAGAUAAGUGCUGAAAGCAUCUAAGCACGAAACUUGCCCCGAGAUGAGUUCUCCCUGAGACUAUAAGUCUCCUGAAGGAACGUUGAAGACGACGACGUUGAUAGGCCGGGUGUGUAAGCGCAGCGAUGCGUUGAGCUAACCGGUACUAAUGAACCGUGAGGCUUAACCUU
Molecule: ribosomal RNA, 1369 nt
Filed under: Cronobacter sakazakii
Lineage: Bacteria; Pseudomonadati; Pseudomonadota; Gammaproteobacteria; Enterobacterales; Enterobacteriaceae
Description: bacterial LSU rRNA
Rfam family: Bacterial large subunit ribosomal RNA
Source: RNAcentral